GAUGAACGCUGGCGGCGUGCCUAAUACAUGCAAGUCGAGCGAACAGACGAGGAGCUUGUGCUUCUGACGAUAGCGGAGGACGGGAGAGUCACACGUGGAUCACCUACCUAUCAGUCUGGGAAAAUCUCGGGAAACCGGCUCUAAUCGCGGAUAAUAUACUGAACCGUAUGGUUCAAUAGCGAAUGACGGCUUUGCUGUCUCUUAUAGCUGGUUCCGCGCUGCAUUAGCUAGUGGGUAAGGUCACGGCUUUCCAAGGCAACGCGGCGUAGCCGACCGGAGAGAGGGAUAGACGACACGAGAACGGAGACACGGUCCAGGCUCCUACGGGAGGCACCAGAAGGGAAUCUGCCGCAAUAGGCGAAAGCAUGACAGAGCCACACCGCGUGAGUGAAGAAGGUCUUCGGAUCGUAAUACUCUCUUAUUAGUGAAAAACAGCUGUAGAAUUAAAUGUAGCCGGCGUGACGGUACCUAAUCAAAAAGCAACGGCUAACUACGUG
RNAcentral lists this ribosomal RNA (497 nucleotides) under uncultured bacterium. Its description in RNAcentral is "partial 16S ribosomal RNA". It matches the Rfam family "Bacterial small subunit ribosomal RNA", at positions 28 to 507 of the family's 1533-position model. The record is from RNAcentral.